This 253-nucleotide ribosomal RNA is filed under the name uncultured bacterium. Its description in RNAcentral is "partial 16S ribosomal RNA". It matches the Rfam family "Bacterial small subunit ribosomal RNA", at positions 524 to 776 of the family's 1533-position model. The record is from RNAcentral.
UACGUAGGGUGCGAGCGUUGUCCGGAAUUACUGGGCGUAAAGGGCUCGUAGGUGGCCAACUAAGUCGGACGUGAAAUCCCUCAGCUUAACUGGGGAACUGCGUCCGAUACUGGAUGGCUUGAGUUUGGGAGAGGGAUGCGGAAUUCCAGGUGUAGCGGUGAAAUGCGUAGAUAUCUGGAGGAACACCGGUGGCGAAGGCGGCAUCCUGGACCAACACUGACACUGAGGAGCGAAAGCCAGGGGAGCAAACGGG